Molecule: ribosomal RNA, 429 nt
Filed under: Acidobacteriota bacterium
Lineage: Bacteria; Pseudomonadati; Acidobacteriota
Description: Acidobacteria bacterium partial 16S ribosomal RNA
Rfam family: Bacterial small subunit ribosomal RNA
Source: RNAcentral
UGGGGAAUUUUGGACAAUGGGGGAAACCCUGAUCCAGCCAUCCCGCGUUUGCGAUGAAGGCCUUCGGGUUGUAAAGCACUUUUGGCAGGAAAGAAACGUCAUGGGUUAAUACCCCGUGAAACUGACGGUACCUGCAGAAUAAGCACCGGCUAACUACGUGCCAGCAGCCGCGGUAAUACGUAGGGUGCAAGCGUUAAUCGGAAUUACUGGGCGUAAAGCGUGCGCAGGCGGUUCGGAAAGAAAGAUGUGAAAUCCCAGAGCUCAACUUUGGAACUGCAUUUUUAAAUGCCGGGCUAGAGUGUGUCAGAGGGAGGUGGAAUUCCGCGUGUAGCAGUGAAAUGCGUAGAUAUGCGGAGGAACACCGAUGGCGAAGGCAGCCUCCUGGGAUAACACUGACGCUCAUGCACGAAAGCGUGGGGAGCAAACAGG